CCUGGAACCUAUCCCGUAUCACUUUCUCCAGUGUUUUGCCCUUGACCUUCUUCCUUUCCUCACCCAUCUCAUCAACAUCUCCUUGUCAACAGGCUGUUUCCCCGACGCCAUCAAAGAGGCAAGAGU
Long non-coding RNA from Etheostoma cragini (Arkansas darter), 126 nucleotides. RefSeq lists it as uncharacterized. The record is from RefSeq and is a predicted model, not a curated record. NCBI's taxonomy places the organism in Eukaryota, Metazoa, Chordata, Actinopteri, Perciformes, Percidae. The transcript is spliced from 3 exons.